Brachypodium distachyon (stiff brome) is the source of this 2655-nucleotide RNA transcript. It is a transcript of the gene named probable membrane-associated kinase regulator 4, with no coding region annotated. Lineage: Eukaryota; Viridiplantae; Streptophyta; Magnoliopsida; Poales; Poaceae. The record is from RefSeq and is a predicted model, not a curated record. The transcript is spliced from 3 exons.
CACUCAAGCUCCGUCCACUUCCUUCCUAAACCACAACCACCAUCUCUGCCAAAACCAAACCAAACCAAAGUGCAACUCACCAAAAACACAAGGCAAGGCCAUAACGAUGGCAAGACAUGCCCCCCAAAUCCAUGACCAACCACUCCAAGAAGAGGACUACAUAGACAUGGAUUUGAGCUCACCUGCAGCAGCAGAAGUGGUCACCACCACAGCAAGCUUGCUCUGCUACACCACAGCCAUGGCAGCCUCACCCCAACACUCAAGGGAGUUUGAGUUCCAAAUGUCAGCUCCGCUUGACCACUGGGAGCCCAUGGCAUCACCAGCAGAUGAGCUCUUCUACAAGGGCAAACUGCUACCACUCCACCUUCCACCACGGAUCCAAAUGGUUGAAAAGCUCCUCGAGAUUGCGGCUGACAAGGGCCUCCUCUCUGCAAGCACUGCCCCAGCGACACCAUACCAGUCGUGCAAUGUUUCCCCAGCAAAUUCAUGUUAUGCUAGUGGUGAGCUCAAUUCGGAGCAUUAUUUCCACGAAUGCACAUCCACCAGUAUUGGUGCUGCUGAUGUGGAAUUAGCAUGCGAGAAGAAGCCAUGGUCCAAGAAGCUCAAGUUCGUCAGGAAUCUCAAACUUGGCCUCAAGCUCAAGGCAUCAAAAGCUUACCUCAAGACAAUAUUUGCCGCUAAAGCAGGGGAUCCAGAUGACAAGAGUGAUGCACCUAGAGCAAAUGAGUUCUCCACUGCCCAGGUCAAGAGUUGGAGGAAGCCAUUUGGCCAAAUCAGAAGCAACAGGUACACAGCCUCGCCCAUCAGCAACAGUACCACACUCGGUGGGAAGCUUAAAGAAGAUGAGUGCGGGCAUAGGAGGUCGUUCUCCAGCGUCAUUAUAGGAUAUUCGUCAUCAAACAAGACGUCAUCUGCCUCAUCAUCAUCAUGCUCUUCGUCGAACUCAUCCUCCUCCAUCCCAAGCUCAAGUGACUCUGGUUUGGGGCCAGUGCUGAGGAGGAGCAGCAGUGCAAGCUCUGAGAUGGAUAAUCCCAUCCAGGGUGCAAUAGCAUACUGCAAGAAGUCACAGCAACUAGCCUCGGUGAGGAAGAGUGCCAGCGAUACAGGUUUCCGGUUCAUGUCAUCGUCAGCGUCAAAGAUAGCUGCAGAAUCUGAAGAUGCAGAAGACAUUAUUGAGAUUUGCCGAAGACAGUAGUAUAAAAGUACGAAAAUUCAAAACCCUGAUAAUUCUGUACACUUUUGAUCUUAUGCUUCCUGCAAACAUGAUAUAUUGUUAAAACAGUAAUGUUAUUUCCUUGAAGAAAACUCGGAUAUAUAUAUGUAAAGUAAUUUCUGUUCUGUCUACAAACAAACAGUUUCACUAUGUUCAAAAUAGUAUUUUAGCACUUGACAUGGUUGUAGAAACAAUGGAAGUACCAGACUACAGAUAAAACCGCACAAAAAAAAUUAAGGUAAAGUUUUUUUCCAAUCAGUAUCCAUAUUACAGAUGCAUGUGUAGCAAGUCCAUAACUAAGAAGAGAGGUAAGGGAAACAAAUAUCAUAAGUCACAGGCAACGGGUCAUGGUUAUCACUUAUCAGAAGACAGCCAAUACUGUUUUGGGUUAAGCUGGCAUUUGCACCAUGGUUGUAUAGAUAUCACAUGCACAAAGCAGUUCCUGAUUAGAUCUUGCCUGCUUUUUCUUUGGUGAACACAAGAAACAUACUCCCAAAAGGUUUCUGUUCCAGUUAUGUGUAUACGGUGCAAUAUAGGUAAAGAACCAAUAAGUUUUUAACGAAGCUAUGAUAUUAACAGACAAGGAAAGAUAAUGAAGCUUUUCUUAUGCAACAUGGUCGCAGCUUGAAUAUUACAUUAUGAGCAAGUAACAAUGGCACAAAUACAACAUUACAGUGAGUCCAGCUAUAUUAAAAAGAAAUUUUUCUGGCAACCUCGCACCUUAAUAUUAUUAUUAAUACGUAUGUAAUUAUGCAUCUUGAGCUUUACUCUCCUCUCCUGAUUGCUAAUCCUUAUGUAUUUAGGGAUUUGAGCGCUAAUUAAUCCGUAUCUUGAGCUUUACUCUUCUGAAUGCUAAUUCUUGCGUAUUUAGGUGCCAGAACGCUAAUAUCACUCUAAUGGCUCAAUCGAGAAGGUGAGAAACAUACAUAUACUACAGCAGGGACCUUAUUUGGGAAAUGUAUAGCACUGGUGACUGGCACUUAAAACAUGAAAGGCAAAAAGAUAAUGCCAUCGAGAUAAGAACAGGCAAUGGGAAAGCUUCAGAGGUUAAGCCAAAGACAUAAUAUAACAAGAGAUGAACUUCGUUGCUAAAUUUAAUAUCCCCCCUUGUCUAUCUCCUGAGAAAUAUCAGGGGGGAAAGAAAACAUGGAGCUACGGGCGAAGAGGGGGAAAUAGAGCAGAUGAAAUGCGUGUUUGGAUCUCUUGCUUACCUUGCUUAGCUAGACUAGAGAAAACUAGCUCAGCUGGUCAAAGCUAGGAAGAGCAAGGCUUGUAGUUUGGUUAACACCAAUUGCAAGCACGAAGCAGUUUGCAUAACAGAAAGUAGCGAGGCGUGUUUGCCCGUUCGGGAGAGCUGAAUCAGCUCUCCUCUGGUGGCAAGUCUUUGGUUCAGUUAUGGGCUAUCUUGCCUAGCAAAGCAAUAUUUUUUAUCCCCUACCAAA